RNAcentral lists this ribosomal RNA (1080 nucleotides) under Bacillus subtilis. Its description in RNAcentral is "bacterial SSU rRNA". It matches the Rfam family "Bacterial small subunit ribosomal RNA", at positions 53 to 1105 of the family's 1533-position model. Lineage: Bacteria; Bacillati; Bacillota; Bacilli; Caryophanales; Bacillaceae. The record is from RNAcentral.
ACAUGCAGUCGAGCGGACAGAUGGGAGACUUGCUCCCUGAUGUUAGCGGCGGACGGGUGAGUAACACGUGGGUAACCUGCCUGUAAGACUGGGAUAACUCCGGGAAACCGGGGCUAAUACCGGAUGGUUGUUUGAACCGCAUGGUUCAAACAUAAAAGGUGGCUUCGGCUACCACUUACAGAUGGACCCGCGGCGCAUAGCUAGUUGGUGAGGUAACGGCUCACCAAGGCAACGAUGCGUAGCCGACCUGAGAGGGUGAUCGGCCACACUGGGACUGAGACACGGCCCAGACUCCUACGGGAGGCAGCAGUAGGGAAUCUUCCGCAAUGGACGAAAGUCUGACGGAGCAACGCCGCGUGAGUGAUGAAGGUUUUCGGAUCGUAAAGCUCUGUUGUUAGGGAAGAACAAGUACCGUUCGAAUAGGGCGGUACCUUGACGGUACCUAACCAGAAAGCCACGGCUAACUACGUGCCAGCAGCCGCGGUAAUACGUAGGUGGCAAGCGUUGUCCGGAAUUAUUGGGCGUAAAGGGCUCGCAGGCGGUUUCUUAAGUCUGAUGUGAAAGCCCCCGGCUCAACCGGGGAGGGUCAUUGGAAACUGGGGAACUUGAGUGCAGAAGAGGAGAGUGGAAUUCCACGUGUAGCGGUGAAAUGCGUAGAGAUGUGGAGGAACACCAGUGGCGAAGGCGACUCUUUGGUCUGUAACUGACGCUGAGGAGCGAAAGCGUGGGGAGCGAACAGGAUUAGAUACCCUGGUAGUCCCACGCCGUAACGAUGAGUGCUAAGUGUUAGGGGGGUUUCCGGCCCUUUAGUGCUGCAGCUACGCAUAAGCACUCCGCCCGGGGGAGGUACGGUCGCCAGGACUGAAACUCAAAGGAUUUGACGGGGGGCCGCAAUAGCGGGUGGAGCAUGUUGGUUUAAUUCAAGCAACCGGGAAAAACCUUACCAGGGCUUGACGUCCUCUGACAAUUCCUAGAGUUGGACGGUCCCUUUCGAGGGGCACAGAUGACCGGGUGGUGUAGGUGUUCGUCAGCUCUCGGUCUAGAGAAUAUGAGGUUAAAGUCCGCAACGAGGGCAACCUG